CGCCUGUUUAUCAAAAACAUCGCCUCUUGCCAAAUAGAUAAGAGGUCCAGCCUGCCCAGUGACUUAGUUCAACGGCCGCGGUAUCCUAACCGUGCGAAGGUAGCGUAAUCACUUGUUCUUUAAAUGAGGACUAGUAUGAAUGGCACCACGAGGGUUAAACUGUCUCCUUUUUUUGAUCAGUGAAACUAAUCUCCCCGUGAAAAAGCGGGAAUCUACUUAUAAGACGAGAAGACCCUAUGGAGCUUUAAACAAACUAACAUCCGCUAUUACUUUAUCGCCUUCUGAGUUAAAAUAAAAAAUAUAGCAACCUGAUUAGAAGUUUUCGAUUGGGGUGAUCACGGAGUAAAAAACAACCUCCACGUCGAACGGAUUAAACUCCUAAACAAAAAGCCACAGCUUUAUGUACUAAUAUAUUAACGCCUUUGACCCAUUUUUGAUCAACGAACCAAGUUACCCUAGGGAUAACAGCGCAAUCUACUUUGAGAGCCCCUAUCGACAAGUGGGUUUACGACCUCGAUGUUGGAUCAGGGUGUCCUGGUGGUGCAGCCGCUACUAAUGGUUCGUUUGUUCAACGAUUAAAACCCUACGUGAUCUGAGUUCAGACCGG
Molecule: ribosomal RNA, 607 nt
Filed under: Bokermannohyla martinsi (Martin's treefrog)
Lineage: Eukaryota; Metazoa; Chordata; Amphibia; Anura; Hylidae
Description: partial 16S ribosomal RNA
Rfam family: Bacterial large subunit ribosomal RNA
Source: RNAcentral